This 447-nucleotide ribosomal RNA is filed under the name uncultured bacterium. Its description in RNAcentral is "partial 16S ribosomal RNA". It matches the Rfam family "Bacterial small subunit ribosomal RNA", at positions 29 to 523 of the family's 1533-position model. The record is from RNAcentral.
AACGAAUGCUGGCGGCAGGCCUAACACAUGCAAGUCGAGCGCCCCGCAAGGGGAGCGGCGGACGGGUGAGUAACGCGUGGGAACGUGCCCUUUGCUACGGAAUAGCCCCGGGAAACUGGGAGUAAUACCGUAUAAGCCCUACGGGGGAAAGAUUUAUCGGCAAAGGAUCGGCCCGCGUUGGAUUAGGUAGUUGGUGGGGUAAUGGCCUACCAAGACGACGAUCCAUAGCUGGUUUGAGAGGAUGAUCAGCCACACUGGGACUGAGACACGGCCCAGACUCCUACGGGAGGCAGCAGUGGGGAAUCUUAGACAAUGGGCGCAAGCCUGAUCUAGCCAUGCCGCGUGGGCGAUGAAGGCCUUAGGGUUGUAAAGCUCUUUCGUGGGGGAAGAUAAUGACUGUACCCCAAGAAGAAGCCCCGGCUAACUCCGUGCCAGCCGCCGCGGUAA